UACGUAGUGUGCAAGCGUUGUCCGGAAUUAUUGGGCGUAAAGAGCUCGUAGGCGGUCUGUUGCGUCGGCUGUGAAAACCCGGGGCUCAACUCCGGGCCUGCAGCCGAUACGGGCAGACUAGAGUUCGGCAGGGGAGACUGGAAUUCCUGGUGUAGCGGUGAAAUGCGCAGAUAUCAGGAGGAACACCGAUGGCGAAGGCAGGUCUCUGGGCAUUAACUGACGCUGAGGAGCGAAAGCAUGGGGAGCGAACAGG
Molecule: ribosomal RNA, 253 nt
Filed under: uncultured bacterium
Lineage: Bacteria
Description: partial 16S ribosomal RNA
Rfam family: Bacterial small subunit ribosomal RNA
Source: RNAcentral